UAGGGAAUCUUCCACAAUGGACGCAAGUCUGAUGGAGCAACGCCGCGUGAGUGAAGAAGGUUUUCGGAUCGUAAAGCUCUGUUGUUGGUGAAGAAGGAUAGAGGCAGUAACCGGUCUUUAUUUGACGGUAAUCAACCAGAAAGUCACGGCUAACUACGUGCCAGCAGCCGCGGUAAUACGUAGGUGGCAAGCGUUGUCCGGAUUUAUUGGGCGUAAAGCGAGCGCAGGCGGAAUGAUAAGUCUGAUGUGAAAGCCCACGGCUCACCGUGGAACUGCAU
RNAcentral lists this ribosomal RNA (278 nucleotides) under uncultured bacterium. Its description in RNAcentral is "partial 16S ribosomal RNA". It matches the Rfam family "Bacterial small subunit ribosomal RNA", at positions 355 to 626 of the family's 1533-position model. The record is from RNAcentral.